Molecule: transfer RNA, 76 nt
Filed under: Clostridiales bacterium
Lineage: Bacteria; Bacillati; Bacillota; Clostridia; Eubacteriales
Description: tRNA-Val
Rfam family: tRNA
About the family: Transfer RNA (tRNA) molecules are approximately 80 nucleotides in length.
Source: RNAcentral
GGAUAAUUAACUCAGUUGGUAGAGUGUCGUCUUGACGUGGCGAAAGUCAGGGGUUCGAGUCCCUUAUUAUCCACCA